RNAcentral lists this ribosomal RNA (253 nucleotides) under uncultured bacterium. RNAcentral describes it as "partial 16S ribosomal RNA". It matches the Rfam family "Bacterial small subunit ribosomal RNA", at positions 524 to 776 of the family's 1533-position model. The record is from RNAcentral.
UACGGAGGGGGCUAGCGUUGCUCGGAAUUACUGGGCGUAAAGCGUACGCAGGCUGUUCGUUAAGUCGGGUGUGAAAUCCCGGGGCUCAACCCCGGAAUUGCGCCCGAAACUGACGAGCUUGAGUGCGGGAGAGGGAAGCGGAAUUCCUGGUGUAGAGGUGGAAUUCGUAGAUAUCAGGAGGAACACCGGUGGCGAAAGCGGCUUCCUGGCCCGACACUGACGCUCAUGUACGAAAGCGUGGGGAGCAAACAGG